GUGGGGAAUCUUGCGCAAUGGGCGAAAGCCUGACGCAGCCAUGCCGCGUGAAUGAUGAAGGUCUUAGGAUUGUAAAAUUCUUUCACCGGGGACGAUAAUGACGGUACCCGGAGAAGAAGCCCCGGCUAACUUCGUGCCAGCAGCCGCGGUAAUACGAAGGGGGCUAGCGUUGCUCGGAAUUACUGGGCGUAAAGGGCGCGUAGGCGGACAGUUUAGUCAGAGGUGAAAGCCCAGGGCUCAACCUUGGAAUUGCCUUUGAUACUGGCUGUAUUGAGUACGGGAGAGGUGAGUGGAACUCCGAGUGUAGAGGUGAAAUUCGUAGAUAUUCGGAAGAACACCAGUGGCGAAGGCGACUCACUGGCCCGUUACUGACGCUGAGGCGCGAAAGCGUGGGGAGCAAACAGGAUUAGAAACCCCUGUAGUCC
Molecule: ribosomal RNA, 425 nt
Filed under: uncultured bacterium
Lineage: Bacteria
Description: bacterial SSU rRNA
Rfam family: Bacterial small subunit ribosomal RNA
Source: RNAcentral